RNAcentral lists this ribosomal RNA (499 nucleotides) under uncultured bacterium. Its description in RNAcentral is "partial 16S ribosomal RNA". It matches the Rfam family "Bacterial small subunit ribosomal RNA", at positions 28 to 507 of the family's 1533-position model. The record is from RNAcentral.
GACGAACGCUGGCGGCGUGCCUAAUACAUGCAAGUCGAGCGAAGUUUUUCUGGUGCUUGCACCGGAAAAACUUAGCGGCGAACGGGUGAGUAACACGUAAAGAACCUGCCUCAUAGACUGGGACAACUAUUGGAAACGAUAGCUAAUACCGGAUAAUAGCAUUAACUGCAUGGUUGAUGUUUAAUAGUUGGUUUCGCUAACACUAUGAGAUGGCUUUGCGGUGCAUUAGCUAGUUGGUGGGGUAAAGGCCUACCAAGGCGACGAUGCAUAGCCGACCUGAGAGGGUGAUCGGCCACACUGGGAGUGAGACACGGCCCAGACUCCUACGGGAGGCAGCAGUAGGGAAUCUUCCGCAAUGGGCGAAAGCCUGACGGAGCAACGCCGCGUGAGUGAAGAAGGAUUUCGGUUCGUAAAGAUCUGUUGUGAGGGAAGAAUGAUUGUGUAGUAACUAUACACAGUAGAGACGGUACCUAACCAGAAAGCCACGGCUAACUACGUG